Molecule: ribosomal RNA, 587 nt
Filed under: Alternaria tenuissima
Lineage: Eukaryota; Fungi; Ascomycota; Dothideomycetes; Pleosporales; Pleosporaceae
Description: eukaryotic LSU rRNA
Rfam family: 5.8S ribosomal RNA (bases 227-380)
Source: RNAcentral
CAGCCCGCCUUCACAUUUGUGUAAUCAUCCCUCCGUAGGUGAACCUGCGGAGGGAUCAUUACACAAAUAUGAAGGCGGGCUGGAACCUCUCGGGGUUACAGCCUUGCUGAAUUAUUCACCCUUGUCUUUUGCGUACUUCUUGUUUCCUUGGUGGGUUCGCCCACCACUAGGACAAACAUAAACCUUUUGUAAUUGCAAUCAGCGUCAGUAACAAAUUAAUAAUUACAACUUUCAACAACGGAUCUCUUGGUUCUGGCAUCGAUGAAGAACGCAGCGAAAUGCGAUAAGUAGUGUGAAUUGCAGAAUUCAGUGAAUCAUCGAAUCUUUGAACGCACAUUGCGCCCUUUGGUAUUCCAAAGGGCAUGCCUGUUCGAGCGUCAUUUGUACCCUCAAGCUUUGCUUGGUGUUGGGCGUCUUGUCUCUAGCUUUGCUGGAGACUCGCCUUAAAGUAAUUGGCAGCCGGCCUACUGGUUUCGGAGCGCAGCACAAGUCGCACUCUCUAUCAGCAAAGGUCUAGCAUCCACUAAGCCUUUUUUUCAACUUUUGACCUCGGAUCAGGUAGGGAUACCCGCUGAACUUAAGCAUAU